AGAGAAGCGCAAACGGUGGAUGCCUUGGCAGUAAGAGGCGAAGAAGGACGUGGAAUCCUGCGAAAAGCUAUGGGGAGCUGGAAACGAGCGUUGAGCCAUAGAUGUCCGAAUGGGGGAACCCGGCUGCAGCGAUGCGGUCAUUUGCAUUUGAAUACAUAGGAUGCAAAGGCGAACUCGGGGAACUGAAACAUCUAAGUACCCGAAGGAAAAGAAAUCAAGAGAGAUUCUCCAAGUAGCGGCGAGCGAACGGGGAGGAGCCUGGCGUGAUUUAUUAUUGAACUGAGUAGAACAAUUUGGGAAAGUUGGCCGUAGAGGGUGAAAGCCCCGUAUACGAAGGUUUGAUGAGGAACUAGGCACGCGAACAAGUAGGCCGGGACACGUGAAAUCCUGGUUGAAGAUGGGUGGACCAUCAUCCAAGGCUAAAUACUACUUACUGACCGAUAGUGAACCAGUACCGUGAGGGAAAGGUGAAAAGAACCCCGGAGAGGGGAGUGAAAUAGAAUCUGAAACCGUUUGCGUACAAGCAGUGGGAGCAUAGUUUAGGCUGUGUGACUGCGUACCUUUUGUAUAAUGGGUCAGCGAGUUACUUUCAGUGGCGAGGUUAACUGAAUAAGGGAGCCGUAGAGAAAUCGAGUCUGAAUAGGGCGAUAGUCGCUGGGAGUAGACCCGAAACCGGGCGAUCUAGCCAUGUGCAGGAUGAAGGUUGGGUAACACCAACUGGAGGUCCGAACCGGGUAAUGUUGAAAAAUUAUCGGAUGACGUGUGGCUAGGAGUGAAAGGCUAAUCAAGCCCGGAGAUAGCUGGUUCUCCCCGAAAGCUAUUUAGGUAGCGCCUCGUGAAUGAUUACUGGGGGUAGAGCACUGUUUCGGCUAGGGGGCUGUCAUGGCUUACCAAACCGAUGCAAACUCCGAAUACCGGCUAAUUGAAUCACGGGAGACACACGGCGGGUGCUAACGUCCGUC
Molecule: ribosomal RNA, 962 nt
Filed under: Legionella pneumophila
Lineage: Bacteria; Pseudomonadati; Pseudomonadota; Gammaproteobacteria; Legionellales; Legionellaceae
Description: partial 23S ribosomal RNA
Rfam family: Bacterial large subunit ribosomal RNA
Source: RNAcentral